UUACUACUAACAUUUGAAAUGGAGUGAGAGGAUUGAAUACGCAAGCCCCUAAUUGGUUUGGGGUGUAAGCAACAAGAGAGCUCUUUUAGGAAAAUCCGGAAGAGUGUUUCUACUUCGGUGGAUGAACACGAGUUGCGAUGCAAAGGUGACCUUCGGGAAACCGAUUUGUACUAUUUAAUUCUCCAGGAAAAUCUUCUAUCAAUAAUUACUUCGGUAAUUAUAAAAAUGUUUGUAACCGUACUGCAAUCCGACACUGGUGGACAAGUGUAAAUGCACUAAAGCGUACGAGUGAUACAUUGUUAAGGAAUUCGGCAAAUUGACCCCGUAAGUUCGCAAUAAGGGGGACUCUCCAUCAUAAGUUUUAUUAUUUGUGGUGAUGAGAGUGGCACAGAAUAGGGAAGAACGACUAGUUACCAAAACUACAGGCGCUUGCAAACUCGUAAGAGGAUGUAUAAGUGCUGACACCUGCCCAAUGCCAGAAGGUUAAGGUGAUUCAUUAGCUCUCUGCUGGGUGCACUUCGGUGCCCUAGUGGUUGCGAAGUGGAAAGCCGAAGCCCUGGUCAAUGGCGGCUGUAACUAUAACGGUCCUAAGGUAGCGUAAUACCUCGUCACUUAAUUAGUGACUUGCAUGAAAGGUGUAACGAUUCUUCCUCUGUCUCAACAAUGUGCUCGGUGAAAUUGAAAUGGCUGUGAAGAUGCGGCCUACCUAUACCAGGACAAAAAGACCCCGUGGAGCUUUACUUCAGCUUUGCAUUGAGAUAAGGUUUCGGAUGUAUAGAAUAUGUGGGAGACUAUGAAGCAGUUUCGUCAGGAAUUGUGGAGUCGACAGUGUAAUACCACUCUUUUGGUAUUUUAUUUCUAACAGUAUCCAUUAUCUGGAUUCUAGACAGUGCAUGGUAGGAAGUUUGACUGGGGCGGUUGCUUGCUAAAGAGUACCGCAAGCGCACUAAGGUCUCCUCAACCCGGAUGGAAAUCGGGUGAAGAGUGCAUAAGCAUAAGGAGGCUUUACUGUGAGAGGGACACCUCGAUCAGUUACGAAAGUAGGUUUAAGUGACCCUUUGGUUGCGCGUGGAAGCGCCAUUGUUUAACGGAGAUAAGCUACCCCGGGGAUAACAGGCUAGUCUUGCCCGAUAGUUCAUAUUGACGGCAAGGUUCGGCACCUCGAUGUCGGCUCGUCGCAUCCUGGGAUUGGAUAAGAUCCCAAGGGUUGGACUGUUCGUCCAUUAAAGCGGCACGUGAGCUGGGUUCAGACCGGCGUAAGCCAGGUCGGUCUCUAUCCGGUAUAGGCGUUGUAUAUUUGAGGAAUUCGGCCCCUAGUACGAAAGGAUCGGGGCGUGAUAACCUCUGGUCUACCAGCUGUUCUACCAAGAGCAUCGCUGGGUAGCUAAGUUAUUAUCGGAUAAGCACUGAAAGCAUAUAAGUGCGAAACCUUUUCCAAGAUUAAAUAUACUUGUGUAGCUUGACUACACGGAAGGUCUGUAGGAGACUACUACAUUGAUAGGCUCUAGGUGUAAGUGUAGUGAUACAUUUAGCCGAGGAGUACUAAUAGACCAAAAGCUUC
RNAcentral lists this ribosomal RNA (1561 nucleotides) under metagenome. RNAcentral describes it as "bacterial LSU rRNA". It matches the Rfam family "Bacterial large subunit ribosomal RNA", at positions 1441 to 2925 of the family's 2925-position model. The record is from RNAcentral.